RNAcentral lists this ribosomal RNA (444 nucleotides) under uncultured bacterium. RNAcentral's name for it is "partial 16S ribosomal RNA". It matches the Rfam family "Bacterial small subunit ribosomal RNA", at positions 338 to 795 of the family's 1533-position model. The record is from RNAcentral.
CCUACGGGAGGCUGCAGUGGGGGAUAUUGGACAAUGGGGGGGAACCCUGAUCCAGCGACGCCGCGUGAGUGAAGAAGUAUUUCGGUAUGUAAAGCUCUGUCAGCAGGGAAGAAAGCAAUGACGGUACCUGACCAACAAGCCUCGGCUAACUACGUGCCAACAGGCGCGGUAAUACGUAGGGGGCAAGCGUUAUCCGGAAUUACUGGGUGUAAAGGGAGCGUAGACGGGUGUGCAAGGCUGGAGUGAAAGACGGGGGCCCAACCCCCGUACUGCCCUGGAAACUGUAUGGCUGGAGUGCAGGAGAGGUAAGCGGAAUUCGUGGUGUAGCGGUGAAAUGCGUAGAUAUUAGGAGGAACACCAGUUGCGAAGGCAGCUUACUGGACUGUAACUGACGUUGAGGCUCGAAAGCGUGGGGAGCGAACAGGAUUAGAUACCCCAGUAGUC